This 960-nucleotide long non-coding RNA is filed under the name Heterocephalus glaber (naked mole-rat). RNAcentral's name for it is "lncRNA (ENSHGLG00000031315.2)". Lineage: Eukaryota; Metazoa; Chordata; Mammalia; Rodentia; Bathyergidae. The record is from RNAcentral.
GUGAAAACUGUCUCCCGGUGUAAAAAUGGGCAACUAUGGGUUAACUGUGUAACUAUGCUUGCUGAGAAAGAUACAUUGUAACCAGUCACUACUGUAAUACAAACUCACUAGAGCAAAGCAAUCCCAGAAAGCCCUGCCAAACUUCCUGCUCCCACCUUCACUGCCCCUUUGCCUAUGUAAUUGUGUUUAGAUUGAUGGCUGUUUUCCCAGUGAUUACGGUUGCUGUUUCCCCCUCCCAUAGAAACAUAAAGGUAUAAAAACGAGAGUAAACUUCUGUUUGACAUUUUUGAGGUGAUCUGAAUCCCUUGAAGCUGCCAGCGAUAAAGCUGAUUUUUGCUCCUACUUAUGUGGUCAGUGGUCUGUCCGGAGACCCUCAAGCGGUCACACUUCACUUCUAAGGGUCAUUUAAAUUUUAGAAAUAUCACUAGGCAGCUGGGUGGAAGAUAGAUGGAAGGAGAAGAUAUUGCAGUGCAGAUGGUACCAGCAGUUGAUUACAACAAUCAGAGAAGGAACGGCAUUUCAAUCCAAUUCAACAAAUCCUGUGAUCCUACUGGAUGCACAGUACAGGAGCAGGAAGAUGAGUUUGACAUAGUUUGUUUCCAGAGGUUAUUAACAUAAAGACGAGAAGCUGAAAGCAGAAAGAAGUGAAGAAUUUCACCUAUGGCUACUCAGAAGAGGACCUGGGAUGAAAACCAGCCUGACCCUGGGCUCAUCUGUUGACUCUAGAAACCCAAAGCAAGACAUUCUUCAUCAGAAAGAAAGAAAGAAAGAAAGAAGAAGGGUAGCUAUCUCUAAAUGUAGAGUUGGUAAAAUGCUUAGUAACAUCAAAAAGAAGACAUUCUUCAUCUUUAAAUUGAGGGCAAUGAUAGUCUUGCAAUGAACAUUAGCGAGAUUGUGAAGUGUCAGUCACACGGCCUGGUCUAAGUGAAUGAUAAUUUAUAUGCAUUAUGAUACAGUUAU